CCAGCACCCGCGGUAAUUCCAGCUCCAACAGCGUAUAUUUAAGUUGCUGCAGUUAAAAAGCUCGUAGUUGAAGUUGGGGUGAGUUGGGGCGGAAGGGGUUUAGCAUCGCUAGUCUUUCCUCCCCUCGCCUUCUCUGGGGGUUUUUUCGAAGAUCCUCGUGGUUACUUUGAGUAAAUUAGAGUGUUCAAAGCAAACGUUUUGUUUUUGAAUAUGUUAGCAUGGAAUAACAGUAUAGGAUGAAGGAUAGUUUGUUGGCCUACUAUAUCUUCGUAAUGAUGAAGAGGAACAGGUUCGGGGACGUACGUAUUUGCGGGUUAGAGGUGAAAUUCUUGGAUCCCGCAAAGACGAACCUCUGCGAAGGCAUUCGUCAAGGAUGUUUUCAUUAAUCAAGAACGAAAGU
RNAcentral lists this ribosomal RNA (400 nucleotides) under uncultured eukaryote. RNAcentral describes it as "SSU rRNA". It matches the Rfam family "Eukaryotic small subunit ribosomal RNA", at positions 567 to 990 of the family's 1831-position model. The record is from RNAcentral.